Long non-coding RNA from Pangasianodon hypophthalmus (striped catfish), 560 nucleotides. RefSeq lists it as uncharacterized. The record is from RefSeq and is a predicted model, not a curated record. NCBI's taxonomy places the organism in Eukaryota, Metazoa, Chordata, Actinopteri, Siluriformes, Pangasiidae. The transcript has 3 exons.
CUGACUUAAAGCGGGCUCCUAGAAAAGAAAGUUUUGAAACAGCUCAGAAAUCUCAGAAACUUACCUCAUUUGCGUCCGUGUCGAUUACACAUUUUACUAAUCGAAUUGUUUCUUGUUAAAUUUAUAAAAAGUUAUUAUUAUUAUUAUUAUUUUUACCGCUCAAAUGCUAAAAACACUUGCGCAUGUAGCAGCAGUAUGUGAGCUUGAGGUAAACCUAGCGCGCCUGGUUUAAAAUCAAGUGCUGAAAAAAAGUGGGGAAAAAAAACGCUCUCACUGACUGCUGUUAUUGCAUUACAACAAAAUAGCCUUUAAUAAUGCCUGUGACAAAAGAAGAAUGUACUGAAAUCAUUGUCAUGGCUGGAUUAGGAAGCUGUGGUAAAGUUGCGAUGGACUUUAACAGGAAACAAGAGCCAAAAGCGUGGCAGGAUUUCAUCAAGUUGAAUCACAUAUAAGCCCUACACUGCAGGGCUAAAUCAUCAGAGAUACACAAGUCUCAUGAGGAAAAAUGAUCAAGGAAUGCACUCACAAAGUAGAUUAUUUAAUAAAGUCUUUAUUUGUAC